CACACCGGAACUGAGACACGGUCCGGACUCCUACGGGAGGCAGCAGUGGGGAAUAUUGGACAAUGGGCGCAAGCCUGAUCCAGCAAUUCCGCGUGUGUGAAGAAGGCCUUCGGGUUGUAAAGCACUUUAGGCAGGGACGAAAAAAUCGGCGCGAAUAGCGCCGGUCUUGACGGUACCUGAAGAAUAAGCACCGGCUAACUCUGUGCCAGCCGCCGCCGUAACAC
RNAcentral lists this ribosomal RNA (224 nucleotides) under uncultured bacterium. RNAcentral describes it as "partial 16S ribosomal RNA". It matches the Rfam family "Bacterial small subunit ribosomal RNA", at positions 309 to 526 of the family's 1533-position model. The record is from RNAcentral.